AUUGAACGCUGGCGGCAUGCCUUACACAUGCAAGUCGAACGGCAGCACGGGUGCUUGCACCUGGUGGCGAGUGGCGAACGGGUGAGUAAUACAUCGGAACAUGUCCUUUAGUGGGGGAUAGCCCGGCGAAAGCCGGAUUAAUACCGCAUACGAUCUACGGAUGAAAGCGGGGGACCUUCGGGCCUCGCGCGAUAGGGUUGGCCGAUGGCUGAUUAGCUAGUUGGUGGGGUAAAGGCCUACCAAGGCGACGAUCAGUAGCUGGUCUGAGAGGACGACCAGCCACACUGGGACUGAGACACGGCCCAGACUCCUACGGGAGGCAGCAGUGGGGAAUUUUGGACAAUGGGCGAAAGCCUGAUCCAGCAAGGCCGCGUGUGUGAAGAAGGCCUUCGGGUUGUAAAGCACUUUUGUCCGGAAAGAAAUCCUUGGCCCUAAUACGGUCGGGGGAUGACGGUACCGGAAGAAUAAGCACCGGCUAACUACGUG
Molecule: ribosomal RNA, 486 nt
Filed under: uncultured bacterium
Lineage: Bacteria
Description: partial 16S ribosomal RNA
Rfam family: Bacterial small subunit ribosomal RNA
Source: RNAcentral